RNAcentral lists this ribosomal RNA (1139 nucleotides) under Calanus sinicus. RNAcentral describes it as "16S ribosomal RNA". The stretch from base 765 to 1091 matches the Rfam family "Archaeal large subunit ribosomal RNA", at positions 2148 to 2718 of the family's 2987-position model. Lineage: Eukaryota; Metazoa; Arthropoda; Copepoda; Calanoida; Calanidae. The record is from RNAcentral.
UAAAUAAGCCUAAGUAGCUUGCCUCACCUCUCCCUCGUCUUUCUAAGUGUUUACAAAACUAUGAGGUUUCAUAAAAUAAAACUAUUACUGUAAAUUUUAGCUGACCUGGAAAAUCUUACCUUUUGCAUCAUGUGUGAAUAAUAAGUCACCUGCGCGUGAAUCUUACGAACUGUUUAGAAUAAUUUAUGUAAAAUUUAAACUGUGGUAGCAUUUUAAUAAAUAUAAAAAUUGGAAUGAUAUGUUAACAUUAAAUAGAUGCUUAUUAAAUUUUAUUGGAAUAAUUCCAACUAUCAGAGAGAUAAGAGAUGAGAAGAGAUAAGUUUUUUCAUUACCAAUUAAAUAGUAACGUCUGCAAUUUUUAAUAUAAAUAUUAAUGUUAAUCUGAGUUUAUAAAAAUUCUUUAAAUUUUAGUAUUUAAUCUUUUAUAAAAAAAAUUUUUUAAGGGAACUUUCCAAUUUUUCCUUAAAAAUAUAUUUACAUGAGUAGUUAAGCUGUACACCCGCAUAGUAAGAUAGGUCCUUAUUUAGAUUAUACCGUUCCACAUUAUAGUAAAAGCACUCGUCUAAAUAUAUUUAGCCUGUUUAUCAAAAACACCGUAAAUUAUAUUUAUAAUACCUGCUCAGUGAAUACUUAAACAGCCGCGUUAGUGCUAAGGUAGCAUAAUAAUUAGUUUUUUAAUUGGAAAAUGGAAUGAAUGGUUUCACUAAAAUAUAGCAUUUACACUAGUAAGUGAAAUUUUAAUUUAAGUGAAAAUUCUUAAAAGACCCACUUAGACGAGAAGACCCUAUGAAUCUGGUAAACUAAGAAUAUGCCUACAAUAGUUAAUUGUUUAUUUUUUGGGGUAAAAAUUAAUAAAAAUAUUAAUAAAUACUUAUUUAACUUAAUCCUCUAGGAAACAUGAAGAAGAUCCUCUAGGGAUAACAGCAUUAUACUUAAAAGAGUUCUUAUCAGAAUAAGUGUUUGUGACCUCGAUGUUGAAUUAAAUACUCCCGUGUGUGUAGGAGCUCACUGGAGACGGUCUGUUCGACCUAUAAUAUUUACAUGAUUUGAGUUAAAAUCGACGUAAGUCAGAUUGGUUUCUAUCUAGUGUGUAAAUUAUUAUCGCUUAGUACGAAAGGAAUAGCUAUAAUUUUAAUUCA